Molecule: transfer RNA, 76 nt
Filed under: Vibrio phage vB_VmeM-32
Lineage: Duplodnaviria; Heunggongvirae; Uroviricota; Caudoviricetes; Pantevenvirales; Straboviridae
Description: tRNA-Asn
Rfam family: tRNA
About the family: Transfer RNA (tRNA) molecules are approximately 80 nucleotides in length. Their secondary structure includes four short double-helical elements and three loops (D, anti-codon, and T loops).
Source: RNAcentral
GGUGGAUUAACUCAGUUGGUAGAGUGAUUGACUGUUAAUCAAUUGGCCACAGGUUCGAUUCCUGUAUCCACCGCCA